GACGUCUACGAGUUGAUCCUGGCUCAGAUUGAACGCUGGCGGCAUGGCUAAUGCAUGCAAGUCGAACGAAAGCCCUUCGGGGCGAAAGUGGCGAAAGGGCGAGUAAUACGAUCGAACGUACCCCAAGGUGGAGGAUAGUGUCGGGAAACUGACGGUAAUACUCCAUGUGCUCUUCGGAGGAAAGCUUUGGCGCCUCGGGAGCGGCGAUCGUCCUAUCAGGUAGUUGGUGAGGUAAUGGCUCACCAAGCCGAAGACGGGUAGCGGGUGUGAGAGCAUGACCCGCCGCAUCGGGACUGAGACACUGCCCGGACUCCUACGGGAGGCUGCAGCGACGAAUCUUCCGCAAUGGGCGCAAGCCUGACGGAGCAAUGCCGCGUGUGGGACGAAGCGUCUUCGACGUGUAAACCACUGUCAGAAUCUAGGAACACUGACCAGAUUCAAAGGAAGGGCCGGCUAACCUCGUG
RNAcentral lists this ribosomal RNA (464 nucleotides) under uncultured bacterium. RNAcentral describes it as "bacterial SSU rRNA". It matches the Rfam family "Bacterial small subunit ribosomal RNA", at positions 1 to 507 of the family's 1533-position model. The record is from RNAcentral.